RNAcentral lists this ribosomal RNA (1446 nucleotides) under Crambe crambe. Its description in RNAcentral is "eukaryotic LSU rRNA". It matches the Rfam family "Eukaryotic large subunit ribosomal RNA", at positions 43 to 1280 of the family's 3401-position model. The record is from RNAcentral. Lineage: Eukaryota; Metazoa; Porifera; Demospongiae; Poecilosclerida; Crambeidae.
UUUAUUAGCGGAGGAAAAGAAACUAACAAGNAUUCCCCCAGUAACGGCGAGCGAAGUGGGAAUAGCUCGAGCCUGAAAUCCCCGGCAUUCCAUGCCGGAGAAUUGUGGCCGGGAGAGGCAGCUGUGCCCGGACUGGUGCUGUCCAAGUUGACCUGGAAAGGCACGCCAGAGAGGGUGAGAGCCCCGUGCGUGACACUGCCGGUCUGGGACGCUACUGUCUUCGGAGAGUCGGGUUGUUUGGGAUUGCAGCCCAAAGUGGGUGGUAAACUCCAUCUAAAGCUAAAUACCGGCACGAGACCGAUAGCGAACAAGUACCGUGAGGGAAAGGUGAAAAGUACUUUGAAAAGAGAGUCAAAAAGACCGCGAAACCGUUAGGAGGGAAACGAAUGCAGCUGAAGUGGUUCUCUGUCAGGCUCAGGAGACGUCGGCGAGUCCUGCUCGGUAUCGGGAGCCGAAAGGCCCCGGUGCCCCGCUGGGGCUUCCGUCUACUCUGCAAUUCUGCGGGGAGCCGGCCAACGGCAGUUGCUCCCGGCUCAGGAGGGCGCGUGGGGAGGUAGCUCYGUGCCUGCACGGAGAACGUAUAGCCCCGCGUCCUGGCAGUCUGGGAUCGACUGAGGAGAGUUGCGAAUCUUCGCACUGGCAGCGCAGGCCCCACGGGGCUGGGUCGCUCUCGUCGGAGGGGAGGCCGCGGCGGUUCACUGCGUGCAGUGGCUGACGACGGUCCGCCUCCCCGGUGGGAGGCCGGUCACACCUUGCGCUGUGGUUGUUGGUGUCCGAAUGGCUGCAUCCGACCCGUCUUGAAACACGGACCAAGGAGUGCAACAUGCAUGCGAGUCUUGGGGUGGCAAACCCGUCGGCGCAAUGAAAGUGAAGGCAGACGUCUUGGUCUGCCGAGGCGAGAGCCUCCCUCGCGGGGGCCCAUCGUCGACCGAUCCCAGGCUACGCCGUGGCGGGAUUUGAGUGAGAGCGUGCCUGUUGCGACCCGAAAGAUGGUGAACUAUGCCUGAAUAGGGCGAAGCCAGAGGAAACUCUGGUGGAAGCUCGCAGCGAUUCUGACGUGCAAAUCGAUCGUCAAAUUUGGGUAUAGGGGCGAAAGACUAAUCGAACCAUCUAGUAGCUGGUUCCCUCCGAAGUUUCCCUCAGGAUAGCUGGAGCCCGGUGCAGUUUUAUCAGGUAAAGCGAAUGAUUAGAGGUCUUGGGGUUGAAACAACCUCAACCUAUUCUCAAACUUUAAAUGGGUAAGAAGCCCGGCUUGCUUGGUUGAAGUCGGGCAUCGAAUGCCGGGGUUCCUAGUGGGCCAUUUUUGGUAAGCAGAACUGGCGAUGUGGGAUGAACCAAAUGCUGGGUUAAGGUGCCCGAAUCGACGCUCAUCAGAUCCCAUGAAAGGUGUUGGUUGAUAUAGACAGCAGGACGGUGGCCAUGGAAGUCGGAAUCCGCUAAGGAGUG